UGCAGCGAUGCCGCGUGAGUGAAGAAGGCCUUUGGGUUGUAAAGCUCUUUCGUCGGGGAAGAAAAUGACUGUACCCGAAUAAGAAGGUCCGGCUAACUUCGUGCCAGCAGCCGCGGUAAUACGAAGGGACCUAGCGUAGUUCGGAAUUACUGGGCUUAAAGAGCUCGUAGGUGGUUAAAAAAGUUGGUGGUGAAAUCCCAAAGCUUAACCUUGGAACUGCCACCAAAACUUUUUAACUAGAGUAUGAUAGAGGAAAGUGGAAUUUCUAGUGUAGAGGUGAAAUUCGUAUAUAUUAGAAAGAACACCAAUUGCGAAGGCAGCUUUCUGGAUCAUUACUGACACUGAGGAGCGAAAGCAUGGGUAGCGAAAAGGAUUAGAUACCCUCGUAGUCCAUGCCGUAAACGAUGUGUGCUAGACGUUG
RNAcentral lists this ribosomal RNA (421 nucleotides) under uncultured Alphaproteobacteria bacterium. RNAcentral describes it as "bacterial SSU rRNA". It matches the Rfam family "Bacterial small subunit ribosomal RNA", at positions 387 to 825 of the family's 1533-position model. The record is from RNAcentral. Lineage: Bacteria; Pseudomonadati; Pseudomonadota; Alphaproteobacteria.